UAGGGAAUAUUGGACAAUGGGCGAAAGCCUGAUCCAGCCAUGCCGCGUGAAUGAUGAAGGCCUUCGGGUCGUAAAGUUCUUUUCUGAGGGAAGAAAAAUCUGGGGAGGAAAUGCUCCGGGUCUGACGGUACCUCAGGAAUAAGCAACGGCUAACUCCGUGCCAGCAGCCGCGGUAAUACGGAGGUUGCAAGCGUUGUUCGGAAUAACUGGGCGUAAAGGGAGCGCAGGCGGUCUCGUAAGUCUAAAGUGAAAUGCCAGGGCUCAACCUUGGACGUGCUUUGGAUACUGCAAGACUUGAGUACGUGAGAGGAGAGUGGAAUUCCAGGUGUAGCGGUGAAAUGCGUAGAUAUCUGGAGGAACACCGGUGGCGAAAGCGGCUCUCUGGCACGUUACUGACGCUGAGGCUCGAAAGCGUGGGGAGCGAACGGG
RNAcentral lists this ribosomal RNA (429 nucleotides) under uncultured bacterium. RNAcentral's name for it is "bacterial SSU rRNA". It matches the Rfam family "Bacterial small subunit ribosomal RNA", at positions 355 to 776 of the family's 1533-position model. The record is from RNAcentral.